RNAcentral lists this ribosomal RNA (1345 nucleotides) under uncultured bacterium. Its description in RNAcentral is "partial 16S ribosomal RNA". It matches the Rfam family "Bacterial small subunit ribosomal RNA", at positions 28 to 1380 of the family's 1533-position model. The record is from RNAcentral.
GGCGAACGCUGGCGGCGUGCUUAACACAUGCAAGUCGAACGGAAAGGCCCUGCUUUUGUGGGGUGCUCGAGUGGCGAACGGGUGAGUAACACGUGAGUAACCUGCCCUUGACUUUGGGAUAACUUCAGGAAACUGGGGCUAAUACCGGAUAGGAGCUCCUGCUGCAUGGUGGGGGUUGGAAAGUUUCGGCGGUUGGGGAUGGACUCGCGGCUUAUCAGCUUGUUGGUGGGGUAGUGGCUUACCAAGGCUUUGACGGGUAGCCGGCCUGAGAGGGUGACCGGCCACAUUGGGACUGAGAUACGGCCCAGACUCCUACGGGAGGCAGCAGUGGGGAAUAUUGCACAAUGGGCGGAAGCCUGAUGCAGCAACGCCGCGUGCGGGAUGACGGCCUUCGGGUUGUAAACCGCUUUCGCCUGUGACGAAGCGUGAGUGACGGUAAUGGGUAAAGAAGCACCGGCUAACUACGUGCCAGCAGCCGCGGUGAUACGUAGGGUGCGAGCGUUGUCCGGAUUUAUUGGGCGUAAAGGGCUCGUAGGUGGUUGAUCGCGUCGGAAGUGUAAUCUUGGGGCUUAACCCUGAGCGUGCUUUCGAUACGGGUUGACUUGAGGAAGGUAGGGGAGAAUGAAAUUCCUGGUGGAGCGGUGGAAUGCGCAGAUAUCAGGAGGAACACCAGUGGCGAAGGCGGUUCUCUGGGCCUUUCCUGACGCUGAGGAGCGAAAGCGUGGGGAGCGAACAGGCUUAGAUACCCUGGUAGUCCACGCUGUAAACGGUGGGUACUAGGUGUGGGGUCCAUUCCACGGGUUCCGUGCCGUAGCUAACGCUUUAAGUACCCCGCCUGGGGAGUACGGCCGCAAGGCUAAAACUCAAAGGAAUUGACGGGGCCCCGCACAAGCGGCGGAGCAUGCGGAUUAAUUCGAUGCAACGCGUAGAACCUUACCUGGGUUUGACAUGGAUCGGGAGUGCUCAGAGAUGGGUGUGCCUCUUUUGGGGUCGGUUCACAGGUGGUGCAUGGCUGUCGUCAGCUCGUGUCGUGAGAUGUUGGGUUAAGUCCCGCAACGAGCGCAACCCUUGUUCACUGUUGCCAGCACGUUAUGGUGGGGACUCAGUGGAGACCGCCGGGGUCAACUCGGAGGAAGGUGGGGAUGACGUCAAGUCAUCAUGCCCCUUAUGUCCAGGGCUUCACGCAUGCUACAAUGGCUGGUACAGAGAGUGGCGAGCCUGUGAGGGUGAGCGAAUCUCGGAAAGCCGGUCUCAGUUCGGAUUGGGGUCUGCAACUCGACCUCAUGAAGUCGGAGUCGCUAGUAAUCGCAGAUCAGCAACGCUGCGGUGAAUACGUUCCCGGGGC